This 203-nucleotide long non-coding RNA is filed under the name Malus domestica (apple). RNAcentral describes it as "long non-coding RNA (MDOM_LNC000698)". The record is from RNAcentral. Lineage: Eukaryota; Viridiplantae; Streptophyta; Magnoliopsida; Rosales; Rosaceae.
ACAAAACCCAGGCAGUGGUGGAGGCGUCGGAACAAGUUUGGAGGUCGAAUCGAGCACACCUAAGUAUAAGGUUUCCAACGGGUUUUAAUGAAAUUGAAGCUCUUCCCAGCCAAAUUGGCCUUGGUCACAGGUAUGAAAGUUACUCUACUUAUUGAGAUCUUCAUUCCUGUAAAUUUUGGUAAUUUUUGAAAAAUGUUGGAUUU